This 2291-nucleotide long non-coding RNA is filed under the name Marmota monax (woodchuck). Lineage: Eukaryota; Metazoa; Chordata; Mammalia; Rodentia; Sciuridae. The record is from RNAcentral.
GAGACGAAGAACAGAUAAAACAAGCGCUCCACCUAAGGUAGCACCGUACAAUGGGAGCAGCGUGGACAUCAGAGGCAGAACUUGAGAAUUCCGUGCACACUGACUGCAAGUCUGAAGAAGGGGAGUUAACGGGAGGAAAGGAAAGUGACUUCCUUUAUUGUUCCUUGUCACAAAUCUGAGGUCUGUCUGUCUCCUUCCCUCCUCCUUCCCCCCCACCCCGCCCCCCUCUCUCUCUUCCUUUCUGUGGAAAGGCAGAGUCUCCCACCCCUGCCUCUGCUUCCAGAGGUGAGGAGUAUUCUUUAUCUUUACUUUCUGGCUGGCUCUCCAAGAUGUUGACAGACAUAGAGCAGGAUGCCGUCUCUGGUCAAGUCCCAAUUAACCCAGGGCUCAGGGUUGAUGAUGUGGGGGAUGCUGCUGUGUAGUGGGCCCUUCCCAUCUCAAUGCUCACUAGGUCUGCAGAGCCUGGUGGGCCCUCUCUUGAGGGAGUCUGGCUCUUUGAGAACCAUCUCUUAGUUCUCAGGCCUGCGGAUGUAUAAAGGUUCACCCACCCAUGUUCUAGUGUCCAGAUGUUAGCCAGACUCUAGAGGACCCCUGCUGUGCGUUGACAUUCGCCUGUCCCUCAGCUCCACUUCUCUUGUCCCUUAAACCUGUUCUUCCAGAAUCCUGGCCUGGUGACUCCUCAGUCACAAGGGUGCACACUGCUCCUUGGAGUGCCACAGUCCCUGCACACUGCCAGUCCCCAUUUUCUGUCCUUGGAAUCUCUCUUGACAUUCCUCCUGGGAAAACUCAGGGUGCAGUUUGGGAGAGGCAGAACUUUCAACUGCCCUUUCUUUUAAAACUGCCUUCCAAGACCUGAUCUCACACCCCUGCACCCUGUAGCUGCACAUCUCCUAUAUUUGUUAAGGUUGGGGGACAUAGUGAGUUCUCAGUGUCUAACAUUCUAAUGCUCCCAAGAGAAACUUGUUUUCCUAGUUCCCUUAAAAACGUGAACUGGUGCCUCAAACAGAGACCAGCACAGACCUCCUCAGGGCGGCACAGAAUAACUGGCUACUCUGAGAAUCUCGUUUUUCUUGCUCCACAGAAUCUGAUUGAAGCGGAAGGGAAAUAGAAGCUGAAGGAUCUGCCAUCUAGAGACUCCAGGCUUCUCUGAGCAAAUAUUCCAUAGUAGGGGACCUCUGGCUUCUUGGCAUAGAUACGGCAACUUGAACUUGGCCCCCAUAAGGGUGCAUAUGCUGUUCCAAGUCAGGAUUGCACACAGCAACUGACCAUACUGUGCACGGGGCAAAUAUUUAUGGGACAAUAAAUGUGAGCGAAGCAUGUUUGUGUUCUGUGCCUAACUGGCGAUGGAACACGCAGAUCGACUGAUUUCCUCCAUCCCCGUGGGAGGAGCUGUGGCCCGUGUCCUCUCGGAUCUGCCUUAGAGUGCUGGCCCUUCAAGCCUAGGACAAGAGAUGGGGCUGGGGCAAGGGGAUGCCCUCAACUGAUUUAGGACUCAGGCUUUGGGAAGAGCACAGGGCCCGGCGGUGCUGCUGUGUGUGACCCAGGUGGACCAUGACUUCAGAUUCCCCCUGUAUAAGCGGAGUAUCUUUGCUACUUGGGAUAGGGAUUAUCCUGUGAAUCAAGCUUUUCGUAGACCUCUGCAAGAACAAAGAAGAAAGUGAACAUGAUAUGACCAAUGCUUUCGGCAAAUAGAAGCAGGGGAAAUCGCUCCGGGACAAUAAACUUCUCUGUUUGGGACGUCAAUCUCACUGGGAAUUUUCAGACAAAUCAUUCAGAAAAUACACUCAAUCACGCAACAGUAGUAGAUACCAUGUGAUCAUUCCAACAUGACCGCAACGCACUGAAUAGUUAUUGCUUCUUUAUUUUUAAAUAGCCCAUAGGCAGAACAAUAAAAAAAAAAACAACUCAAGAAACAAAUUCCAAAGGUUAGAUUUUAGAAAUCCUGCUGUUAGAUUUUAGAAAUCCUGCUGUUAGUAACUGUCACACAAGUGUCUUAGCAGAGGGGCAGAUAACUGUAGUCAAAGAAAUAUUAGUAUCCAAGGAUAAUUUGCGCACUUGUCAGUAUAAAUUUUUAAAUGAAACAGAAAGCCGGGGCUGCGUUUCUUUUCGUUAAAGCAACCUCCUGUGCUUCCCCGGCCUGCUCGCUAUUGUUAUGUGGCGGGUAGAUUUCACAUUCCUUCUGCAUUAUUGUAACAGACAAGUCUAAGACACUGUCUAAUGUUAAUUCUACACACUGCUGCCAAUUAUAAUCAGAGCUAGUCAAAAUAAACAAAUUAAACAAAUAAACAUGU